RNAcentral lists this ribosomal RNA (1163 nucleotides) under Calothrix sp. HA4236-MV1. Its description in RNAcentral is "bacterial SSU rRNA". It matches the Rfam family "Bacterial small subunit ribosomal RNA", at positions 356 to 1531 of the family's 1533-position model. The record is from RNAcentral. Lineage: Bacteria; Bacillati; Cyanobacteriota; Cyanophyceae; Nostocales; Calotrichaceae.
GGGGAAUUUUCCGCAAUGGGCGAAAGCCUGACGGAGCAAUACCGCGUGAGGGAGGAAGGCUCUUGGGUUGUAAACCUCUUUUCUCAGGGAAGAAAACAAUGACGGUACCUGAGGAAUAAGCAUCGGCUAACUCCGUGCCAGCAGCCGCGGUAAUACGGAGGAUGCAAGCGUUAUCCGGAAUGAUUGGGCGUAAAGCGUCCGCAGGUGGCUGUGUAAGUCUGCUGUCAAAGAGCAAAGCUCAACUUUGUAAAGGCAGUGGAAACUACACGGCUAGAGUGCGUUCGGGGCAGAGGGAAUUCCUGGUGUAGCGGUGAAAUGCGUAGAGAUCAGGAAGAACACCGGUGGCGAAGGCGCUCUGCUAGGCCGCAACUGACACUGAGGGACGAAAGCUAGGGGAGCGAAUGGGAUUAGAUACCCCAGUAGUCCUAGCCGUAAACGAUGGAUACUAGGCGUGGCUUGUAUCGACCCGAGCCGUGCCGUAGCUAACGCGUUAAGUAUCCCGCCUGGGGAGUACGCACGCAAGUGUGAAACUCAAAGGAAUUGACGGGGGCCCGCACAAGCGGUGGAGUAUGUGGUUUAAUUCGAUGCAACGCGAAGAACCUUACCAAGGCUUGACAUGUCGCGAAUCUUCUUGAAAGGGAAGAGUGCCUUCGGGAGCGCGAACACAGGUGGUGCAUGGCUGUCGUCAGCUCGUGUCGUGAGAUGUUGGGUUAAGUCCCGCAACGAGCGCAACCCUCGUUUUUAGUUGCCAGCACUUAGGGUGGGCACUCUAGAGAGACUGCCGGUGACAAACCGGAGGAAGGUGGGGAUGACGUCAAGUCAGCAUGCCCCUUACGCCUUGGGCUACACACGUACUACAAUGCUCCGGACAGAGGGCAGCAAGCUAACGAUAGCAAGCUAAUCCCAUAAACCGGAGCUCAGUUCAGAUCGCAGGCUGCAACUCGCCUGCGUGAAGGAGGAAUCGCUAGUAAUUGCAGGUCAGCAUACUGCAGUGAAUUCGUUCCCGGGCCUUGUACACACCGCCCGUCACACCAUGGAAGCUGGUAGUGCCCGAAGUCAUUACUCCAACCUUUCGGGGGGGAGGAUGCCUAAGGCAGGACUGGUGACUGGGGUGAAGUCGUAACAAGGCAGCCGUACCGGAAGGUGUGGCUGGAUCACCUCCU